AGACUGUUUCUUCUUUUGACACAGAAGCUCUUGUAACAGUUUUGUUCUUUAUAAAUCUUGUUGACAACAUGUGCAUCUUAUUAGAACAUUACUUCUUCUAUUGACACAUUUUUUUUAAUCCUUUUUCAGUUUAAAAGAAAAACGAAAUCUUCUAUGAGAUUAUCGUGACACUUUGAAUCCACAGUAAACAGAAGGUUCCUGCAAAAACAGCUCAGACUGUUUUACUGCUGACCCACUUGAAGCAAUGAUGUCAUGUCUCUGUGAACAUUUACCCUAAAACUUUUGCAGACUUGUGCAAACUGUUUUUUUCCCAGAGCAAAAAGAAAAGAUAAAAGGGCUCCUCUUUGUUGUGAACUGAAUACAGUCAAUUAAAAAGACGUUAAAAGACCUUUUAGCAGAGGUUUACAGUUAGAAAGAUUGAUUUUGAGUCAGUCUCUGCAGUCUGAUGCAGAAAGGUCGCCGAGUUGACAAAGAGAUGAUGGUUCACACUGUCAAGUUCAUGGAUAAGUGUACAAAUGGAAAAUAAACAGCUCUUAUUUGUUGCCAUGGUGACAGAUUGAACAAAAGUUCUGCAGAAGAGGAGGGUAUAUUUCUGUGAGCUGUUGCACAUUAGAAUAGAGCACCGCUCAUGUGUGUGCGCUCCCGGCCCCCGUGUCUGUGGGGAAGAACUGAAAACAAUGUCUGAAAAUUAUUAAAGACACCCCACACAGAAACAUCCACCCCCGUCGCUCAUUACCGCUCUCUUCUGCUUCUCCUGCAGGCCAAUGUGACCCUCAUCCGAGUCAAGUGUUGCUGCUCAGCGUUUUCACGGAGACGCAGUACGCCGAAGGGACGCUCAAGAAGAAAGUGCACAGUGGUGCGAGGGAGGAGAAGCAAAACAAGCAGCCAGGAGCCCAAAUUCUCUGUCAAGUUCUACCCAUCGACCGAUUGGUUCCUCGUUCCGUUGCUCGGCGCCGGGUUUUAGACAGCGGGGUUGACAUGGCAGCCGUGGGCGGGAUUAGAGUCCUGCUUCUGGUGUUGCUGCUCGAAUGGGACAAGUCAACUGGACUCAAUUGGAACCCAAUCCCACGAAAGACUGUCAGAUACCACGGUAAGUACGCAAACACGCUUGUUUUUACAGGGUGCUGGUCACUGUCUGCAUCAAAAUUUGUGGCGCAGUGGUUAGCGCUUAUGCCUCACAGCAAGAAAACCCCUGGUUCAAGUCCCGGCUGGGGGACCUGAACCAGAACACCAAUGGGGGACCUUUCUGUGUGGAGUUUGCAAAUUCUCCCAGUGCAUGAGUGGGUUCUCUCCGGGGACUCCUGCUUCCUCCCUCUGUCCAAAAACAUGGUUCAUGGGUUAACUUGUUACUCUAAAUUGUCCCUAGGAGGGAGUGUGAGAGUGCAUGGGUGUGUGAUUGUAGCCCUGCAACAGACUGGCAACCUGUCCAGGGUGUCCUCUUCCAGCUUUAACCCAUGAGCGGCUGGGAUAGGCUCCAGCCCCGUGCCCUGAAAGGGACAAAACGGGUUAGAAGAUGAAUAAAUGAAUAAUAGGAUUUAUGUCAAAAAAUGUAACGUGAUAAAUUUAGUGAAAAACUUAAAAGUCUUCCGUUGUCCCUGCAUUCCCCUGGACUUGUUAUAUAUAUAUAUAUAUAUAUAUAUAUAUAUAUAUAUAUAUAUAUAACAAGUCCUUGUGACAGUCUGUCAGUGAAAGGUGCUGUACAAAUAAAAUGUACAUACUUACUUACAAAGAGGAGGACUAUUUCAAGAACAGUGAAAUCCAAAGAGAAAGAAUAAUGAAAAAUGAAUAACCAGUGAUCAGCCGAUCCCUGGAUUACAGGAUUAAAGCUGUUUUACGGCUGUCUAACCCCUCACUUCACAUUUUGUCCUCUUUUCUCAGACAGGCACGAACAUUUCCAAACGUUUUCCUCUUUUGUCUAAACUCUCAAAUUUCAAGCCUUUGUUGAAAAAAUUGUCCAGUAUCACAGAAUAAAAAAAAAGAUCUGAUUUCUUGCAAAGAUUUAUGUUCCAUAAAUUUGGAAAACUGGAUAAAUUCACGACACUGAGUAGAUGGAUUGACUACAACCAAUCAGGAUGUAGAACACAAUGCUCUAUAGAAAAAAAAAAACACAUGCAACACUGCACACAAAAAACAGUGAGACCCCGAAAAGUGAACUGUGAUACGGAAAGCAACCGCUGUAUUUAUUAGCCGUUUAACAUCGUAGAUGUCACCAGGAACAUCUAAAUAACUAUUUGAACUGCCGGAACUCCUGAUGCGAUUAACGUUAAUUAUCUGAUUCUGACACAGAGAAGCGCAUCUUUACAUAUUAUAAAGUGUUAAAAGUGUUCCAAAACAGCGUAAAGCUGCUUUUUUCCGCUUCAGAAUUCAGUGGAAUUACGUUAAUUGUUCGAAAGACUGUAAUCACAGUGUUGAAGUUGGCAUAGUACAAACCUAAAAGUUGAUCAAACAGUUGCCUUUCUGAUUGCUCAGUCAUUCCUCGUAUUAAUAACGCAUCAUCGGAUACGUUUCGCCACGUUGGAUGGGUGCUCUGCGUUCCCUCAAAGGUCAGCGCGGUCAGAGUGUGGAGAACCUUUAGGUGAAAAUCUCUCAGCCUGGACUCCUCCACCUGACUCUGACUUCCCCGUUUCUCAGUCCGCCGCUUCAACGGCGUCCCGCGAGGCCGAUUUGCUGCAUUGCUCUGACAGAAUCCUCCUAUUUGGGAUGAUCUGUGUUGUUUCACAUCUGAUUCGAGUUUUCUGUUGUAUCAGAGGUUUUUUUUUUUUUCGUUUGCUAAAGAGGUUCUCCUCGGUGAAACAAAGCUGGAGUGUAAUCCGAGCUCUGAGCUGCAUUCUCCCUUUAUCUCCGUCUUUUCUCAGCAGGCAGACCCCGCUGUCCCCGCUAACAAUGGCUAUUGUUGAAAGCUGACAAAAAGGCUUUUUUUUAUAGCACCUUAACUUUUCUGUUCCUUUUCUCUCCACAGGGGAUUGUGAAAAUUGAAUAAAAAGGUUGAAAAUAAAAAAAGUAGAGUAAAGGUGUAUUUUUCCCAGGUCUUUGUUGCACCUAUCCCUCUUUUCAUCCCACAUCAAUCCCUUCUUUCCUGACUCCUCCUGCUGCUCCGUUACGCUGUUUAUCCCUCCCUUCUUUGGCUCAUCGCAUCAACCCCAAAUGCUCUUAUGCCAUUUUAACAAAGAGCUUCAAUUGCAGCCACUUUCGAGGGGAAUGGCGUUCCCGGUGGAGGGUUGUUGGGGGAAAAAAAAUGCUUAAAACCUUUCUUCAUGCUGAUAUCACCCACUCCCAAUUCCCUCCUCAUCAUCAGUACAGUUGUGGUGGGAAAAAACAAUCCACAGGGUGCUGAUAGUUUCUGCUAAAGCGCUCCAGUGAGACAAAUGGAAGGCUGGAGUCGGCCAGACGCAGCGCCUAAAAAAAUGAGAAGGGAUGAAGUAAGUAUACGUACGAGAAGACUCUUAUUUUCCAGGAAGCGAAGACAAGGCUUCAUUCCCUCUUAGUGGCGUCUUUUGAGCGAGCUGAAAGCCUUAUUAUGACUCCUCCAUGGGCUUUGAUUGAAGUGUUGCACCUGAGCGCGGGAACAUUCACCAAACCGCUCCAUUUGCAUUCGAAACAAGCGGGAUUAUCCCACUGCAGGGGUGAGGAACUGCAAUCUUUCAGGCUGAACGCCGGCUUCACUGAAUUUUAUGGAUGGCUUCUCUCUGCAAGGCUGAGGAGAGGGAAACCGCUAAAAACAGAAGAAGAGUCAGAGUGAAAAGAGAGACUGGGUGUAUAAUGGGGAAAAAAAGACUUGAAAGAUUAGUAGAGGGGCAAAGAAAGAGUCUGGGAGAGAGCGGCCAGCAGCUAUGUACCUUAAAAGGACAGAAAAGAGAUGAUGGACAGAAACACACACACACACACACACAUGCACCCUGUUUCAUGUCCCACUGCAGCACNNNNNNNNNNUCUAUCCUUGAGUAACGUUGGGUUUGCAUGCACUCUGACAGGAGGAGAGAUGCUACAGAAUGUGUGUUUUUUGUGUGUGCCGCUCUGGAUCUGCCUGCUUAAUUCCCCUUUGUUUACAUGUGUGUGUGUCUGCAUGUGUGUAGUGCUUAGGCGAGCAGUCUGAGGGAUUUGCAGCUCUGCGGUGUGGAGUAGGUGUGUGUGUUUGGGAGCUGGAAUGGGCUAUGGUGGGCCAGAGAUGGUUGAAAAGAUAAUAUUUACCCCCGCCCAUGACUUCCAUCCCUGCCCCCACCCUGCAAUUACACAAUGCCUGCACGGGCUGCAGGAGAAGAAACACAGACAUCCUUUUUUUUUUGCUUUUUUCACCGUUGUCAUUCCGCUAUCUUCUACUUCCUGUUGCCUUGAUUUUUCCAGGAUCACCUGUUGCAGCUGUCAGGGUUGCUGCGAUUCAAAAUAAACCACUAAUGAGACGUUUCAUGUAAGAGUCACGAUCGGAACGCCACAAUUGUACAGACUCUUUGAUAGCCUGUCACAUUUUCCUCAUCUUUGCCACCAAGGAUUUAUUUAUCUUGACUUUUUCGAUGACAUUAUACAGCAGUGACGUGCGGUGAGGUUAAUGGCUGGUGAGGCACUGACGUCAUCAGUCAGAUUUACAAACAUAUGAACCAUACUGAGUAACUUAUUCACCAUUUGAUUGACAACAGUUAACGUGUUUUGUUUAAAACAUCAUUUCAACAUGUUUUUUUUCAUAUACAAACUGCAGCAUAGAAAAAAUCACAAACGUUAUUAUCGUCUUACCUUUACUUGUAAAUAAAGUCCAUACGCCGCUCCUUCUGAAGAAAAUGACUUGCCGCUUGCUAUCACUUCUUCUAGUAUUUUUUAGCAUCAUAAUCUCAGGGCUCACUGGCGCCCCCUAACAUGAGGCACGAGAACUGCUGGCCUCACCCAGCAGCUUUUUCGCCGGCGUUUAGCGCUCAGCACAAGAAACACGUCCCUCACAUACAGUUAUUUAUAAAAACAAACACUGUACAUCAUAUACAUCUGCUAAAUUAUGCAAACUCAGCUCAUAU
Molecule: long non-coding RNA, 4997 nt
Organism: Oryzias sinensis (Chinese medaka)
Lineage: Eukaryota; Metazoa; Chordata; Actinopteri; Beloniformes; Adrianichthyidae
Source: Ensembl